UGGAAACCAUGAAGUAGAGAUAAUCGGGUGCUGAAUGUUGUAUGAUUGGAAAUUUUUAUUAUGUAAGUUAUGUAAUCAAUCUAAGUAUUUUUUUUAAAAGGAGAGCAUCAUAAAAUUACACUCCAG
RNAcentral lists this small nucleolar RNA (126 nucleotides) under Ailuropoda melanoleuca (giant panda). Its description in RNAcentral is "Small Cajal body-specific RNA 7 (ENSAMEG00000030839.1)". It matches the Rfam family "Small Cajal body-specific RNA 7". The record is from Rfam by way of RNAcentral. Lineage: Eukaryota; Metazoa; Chordata; Mammalia; Carnivora; Ursidae.